GCCGCCCCUACUCUGCUCCAUCAUGUAAUUCCUCACCUCCAUUUUUAUCAUUUCAUGCAUAACCGCCAUAAACUCCGCAGUGAACCCAACAAAUCCUCCCCCUACUCCACCAUUUACCGCUCCCUGCUGCAUACCCGCUGCUACGGCAGGCCCCCGCCCCGCCCCCCCUGCCCGGGCUAGUGGAACAUGUUCUCAUGCUGCGGCCCCAAGA
This 211-nucleotide unclassified non-coding RNA is filed under the name Hevea brasiliensis (rubber tree). Lineage: Eukaryota; Viridiplantae; Streptophyta; Magnoliopsida; Malpighiales; Euphorbiaceae. The record is from RNAcentral.